ACACAAAUUUUAAAUAAAUUUUAGACAAAGCUCAAUAAAACCCUAAGUCCUAGAUAAAUUCUAGACAAAUCUUAGAUAAAUUUGAAUCAAGUUUUAAACCAAAUCUUAAGAAAAUCCUAAUCUUAACCAAAUCCUAGACUAAAUCUUAAACCAAAUCUUAAUCAAACCUUAGAUCUUAAAAAAACUCUCAACAAAUCCUAUAGCAAAAUAGAACCUCAACAACUAAUGAUCAAACUAUUAAUAUCAACUCAAAAUUUGCAUACUUUUUAAUAUCUUAAUUAAAAAAUAAGUACAAGAAAGAUCAAAUUGAUCGUACUUAUCAAUUGAAAAAAAUGCAAGAUAAUACAAUCAACAUAUUAAUAUAUUAUUCAAAUUUCACUUAUACAUAUACCACAGAAUUUAAGAAAUCUUCAAAUUUUUAAACAUAUUUUUAUUUUUCAAAUCCUCAUCCUACCAAGAACAUCAUUAAUUUUGAAUAUCCUUCAAAAUCUCAAUAUUGAUUCAAAUGAAAUGAAAUCAAUGCUUAAAAAUCUAUCUUUAAUUUUGCUCUUGAAUUUGCUCUUUGAUCUAUAAAAGAAUCCAAGAGUCACCAUC
RNAcentral lists this long non-coding RNA (594 nucleotides) under Physcomitrium patens. Its description in RNAcentral is "long non-coding RNA (PPAT_LNC000758)". Lineage: Eukaryota; Viridiplantae; Streptophyta; Bryopsida; Funariales; Funariaceae. The record is from RNAcentral.